Long non-coding RNA from Oncorhynchus tshawytscha (Chinook salmon), 837 nucleotides. NCBI's taxonomy places the organism in Eukaryota, Metazoa, Chordata, Actinopteri, Salmoniformes, Salmonidae. The record is from Ensembl.
AAAAACUUUACGCUUCGAACACACCGACUGUGUUAUUGCAUCGCUGCUGCAUAACAUUUUGCGCAGGAAGGCAACUAUACUGAUGCAGGUACCUUUUGCAGACGGUCGAAUGCGGUUGGACACAUGGAGAGAAUCAUUUUCGCAGUAUCCUCAAAACUGUGUAUUUUUGACACAGCUGCUGACAGCUACAAACACAAAAAAUGCUGCUUGGAGACAAGUGUCCACGAUAGUAGGCUUGCCAGGGAAACGAGUGGCAAUUUUACAGCCAGACCCUUUACUUCAUCCACAAGUGUGGGUGCCACCGGUGCAUCAAGACCCUUUGUCAUUUACAAGUGAGUCCACCGGUGCAGCGAGACCCUCUGUCAUCUACUAGUGCGACCAUCACCAGUGCAGCGAGACCCUCUACAACAUCCACAAGUAUGACCACCACCAGUGCAGCCAUGGAAGAUAAUGGAGCAAGCACCUCUGGAUCUAGGAACACCUGAGAUUAUUAUGACCACGAGGACCUUGAACAGGAUGUGGCCGUGGAGACAAACAUGGAGAAAUGAAGAGGAACAAUGUCACAACAGGCGCUAUCGUAGGUACUAGCUUCCAGAUCCACUCAACUCAUUUCAGCAUAGGCUACUCCAAGCCGUCGAGAGGGAGGCAGCCCAACCUGAUCCCCACAUUGAGGAUGAAGAGACACUCUUUGCCUGUUGCCAACCCUGAAGAGGCUGCCUCAAAGAAAAGCAGCAGUUAAGAUAAAAAUUCUUCAGCUGCUUUUUGAUGACAAGUUCAAUGGUACGUUUUUUUUCUCUUCACUACACAGGUCGUGUCAUAAGUUUUGCAACAGUGAAG